AACAGUUGCCUAGUGCCACAACUGGAGCCCAUCACUGGGGCCGGGCUGACAGCCAGCCUGCCAGAUGUGAGGCCUUCUCCACGCUGUCUGUAAUCCAAGCAGAAACACAAACUUCAGACUGUGCUGUAGAACAUGAGAGACAGUUUCAGAAGUGGUAUGCAGACCUCCCUGUUUUCCAUCCAAACCCAGGAGUGACCUUGUUGUGGCCACAGAUUCCCCUCCGUGUAAAGCAGCCUCCUUCAGGACCCUGCUAUUAGCGGCUUUGUGGGGCAGAGUGGCGACAUCUUAAUGGCACACAGACAAGAGGAGGCUACAGACCCCUGCACCCUCCAGCACUGAGAGCACAGCUGACUGCAGGGAAUGUGGACACUUUGAGAUGUAUGCUGACAGCAGCCACCAGGGGCUGGUUGGAAUUUGUGUUCACGCGAAGAAAAACGAAGUACUGUUUUUAUGCUGUUUUUACAAGGAACGCUUGGCAGCUUUAUACAUACACUAAGGAACUCGUACAUGCUAAUUAUGAGCAGGGAACUAGAACUAGAAACUAAGAAAAGGGGCCUUUGUGCUGAAAUAUGUUUUUAUUUAUGUACCAGUUUGUAGGCUAAGGUCAGGAAACUGCCAGACUGACAUACAGCACUCAGCACGUGUCGUAACUUUGAAAUUCUGAGAAAUCUGUUUAUUUUGGGGGCAAAAGGUGUCCUUUUAGGUGACCUUGAAACUAUUAUUAUAACUGUACAGUAAUAGAGUUAAAAUGGAAAUGUGUGCCAACAGCCUUUUUUGCAAAUUUGCAUGAGUGAAACAAAACGGAGGAUUAAUUAAUCUCCUAAUCUUAGUCAAUCAAAAUACUACAGAUUGGGUAUGCGUGUAAAAGAACUCUAUACUCUGCUCAAAGCGCCUUAUACAGCAUGACUUAUAUAGAAAGUAUUUGAAUGUGUAAAUAACAUUUGCACUCCGAUAGAAUCAACAGAGACCGACUUAAGGUUAGUGCCUUGCCCAAGAACGUUUUGCAUGCAAACUGCAGCAGCCAGGGAUCGAUCCAUGAACCUUCCGAUUAGAAGACUACCUCCUGCUACAACAAACCGCAGCCAAUGCACACGUAGGUCCAGACUCCCGUCCAUAUCAGCCAACAGCAGGUAGAAGAAGUGAGCUUCCAGAAGAAGUGAAAUCCAGUGGAAGCGUUAUCACUGCUGACCGUCCUGUGCCCUGUAUCUAUGUGAAAUAUUGAGCGGAAAAAAAAAAAGACUUCCCAAUGCCUCCAUGUAUUGCAACAAUUAAGAUCGCUUACUGGGCCAAUGAGACUGCAAUGAUCUGGACUCUACAUACAAGUAAAAAUAAGCAGGGCUGACUGAAGAUCACCUCGAGUUGGACAUUCACCGAUGAUCUGAACAUUGUCAAACACGCUCAGAAUGACUGAAGUUGUUUUAGAUCAUUAGUUGCCCUAUUUGCCGAUUCAUAAAUGGACUGGUACUUAUAUCACUUCUCUGCUCUACUGGAGCACUCUAUGCAACAUGCCGCUUUCACCCUUUGUACAAGCCCUUUCUUCUAACAUUUAAACAUAUAAAACUGGAAGGCACAUGAGGUUUAGUAUGUUACCCAAGGACUGCAGUCAGGGAUUAAUCCGCCAACCUCCCAACUAGCAGAUGACCUAUGCUACCUCCUGAGCUAUAGCUAAUGCCACCCACACACAGCUACACCACAGUGAGAUGGGAUUUCUUGACAUCUGCUCUAUUUGUCAAUAUUAGGCCUGAACUAUGGAAACUAAGAGAUGCUCUCCUGUGGGCUCAUUCUAGUUUUUGUGAAUAUUACCCAAAUAAGGAUGAAUGGUGCAUUUUCUGGGAACUACUUUAGGCCUUGGAUUUAUAUUGAUUUGGUCUGAGGGUGAGCAUUUACUGCAGCAGUAUAGCGAUUGUGGACUCUAGUAAUGAAGGAACAUGUCAGUCAGUGCUACAUGUUGCUUGUUGAUGUAUCCUUUCUUAGUUUAUGCACCACAGUAAAGCUGUAUGGCUCCAAGAAAUUAUCUAUCAGAUCAUGUUUCUAUAUAUUUGCUUACAAUGAAGUAAAACAUAGAGUUUUGUCUGCCAUUUCAUUGAAAGCAGUCUGAAAAUCUUUAUACUCUUCAGUGAGUUAAGCAUUGUCAGGCUCUCAUAAACUGCUUUAGCAGAAAUGGUAAUAAUGUCUGUGGCAUUCAGGGUCAUUCUGCUAAAACUGUAACAAGUAAAACAGACUUGAGCUACUUGGAAAACCUUCCAGAGGCCCUGAGAAGUAGUGUCGUUGAGCUAAUAAGUCACCAUUUCCGAUAUUUUAAGUGCUCUGCCAUGCCCAACUUCACCAGGCUCUAACUUGGCCCG
This is a long non-coding RNA of Oreochromis aureus, 2345 nucleotides long. RefSeq lists it as uncharacterized. Lineage: Eukaryota; Metazoa; Chordata; Actinopteri; Cichliformes; Cichlidae. The record is from RefSeq and is a predicted model, not a curated record. The transcript is spliced from 4 exons.